RNAcentral lists this long non-coding RNA (293 nucleotides) under Phoenix dactylifera (date palm). RNAcentral's name for it is "long non-coding RNA (PDAC_LNC020778)". Lineage: Eukaryota; Viridiplantae; Streptophyta; Magnoliopsida; Arecales; Arecaceae. The record is from RNAcentral.
UCCAUUCUGCUGGGUUGCCACCACAUACUGCUAGGUGUCACUAGUGGAUUGUGAGACUCGAAGGCAUUCACUUGGUGAUCAGUGAAUCCUAAGAGUAGAACUGAAAUCGUUUCAGUCCACUGAAAGAAGUUUCAGUGAUAUUGAGAUGGAGAUCUCAAUAUUUCUCACUACUAGUCAGAAUAGAACCUAUGAGGUCACACACAUAGAGAAUUUAAUUAGUCAGACUAUCAUUAAUUAUGAUUUGGAAUCAUAAUAGAAAUCAAUCAUCAAUAUGAUUGGUGAUUGAAUUAACC